UAAGUGAUUCUCCUGCCUCAGCCUCCCAAGUAGCUGGGAUUACAGGCGCCCGCCACCAUGCCCAGCCAAUUUUUUGUAUUUUUAGUAGAGAUGGGGUUUCACCAUGUUGGCCAGGCUGGUCUCAAACCCCUGACUUCAGGUGAUCCACCCACCUCAGCCACCCAAAGUGUUGGGAUUACAGGUGUGAGCCACCGCGCCCGGCCUUGUAACCUGACUUACAGACCUCCUAAGAUAAGUGACUCCUUGUGAAACCAGGAUGAAACAUGAAAGAUCUAAAGCUACUUUUGCCUUAAUUUUUGCAGCAGCAACAGAAUAAAAAAGAAAAUGCAAGGAAAAAAAUUAAAAAAUAAAGCGACCUUUGCCAAGAGCAAGUUAGAAACUCAGUGAAGCCAGGGUGGCACUUUUGGCUGUUUCUGUAGAUUUCAUCCCCCAUGAAGGCAGAACAGGGGAAGAGGCACAGUUUUCCAGAAUUCCAUGUUGGGAUAUGGGGGAAGAAGAGGAAGAAAAUUCCCAUAUUCUGAAUGUAUAGAUUUGGAAGCUUUUAGGUACCAAUUCAUUCAGACCUAAAUUUACUAAAUAACAAGCCAAUUGAGGGGGAAAAAAACUUCUAAAAAGACAGAGUACAGUGUCUCUGUGGCAGUGAAGCCAACUAGAUACCAGGAAUAAAGUUUGGAGUAUAGAUCUCUAUCAUAGAAUCACUCAGGGAUGUUCAGCCAGCUCAUCCAAGGCCACGUAGUAAGGUAAAGGUGGAGCCCGCAUCUCCUAAUUUACUGUCCCAUUUCCUUCCGACACCACACUGCCUUGAAUUUAGGGAAAAGUUAAUUUCCAAGUGUUUGUGCAAUGGGCCAGAACUUCUCCCUGAAGGAACAUACUCCCAGUUCUUGAGGUUCAUGUGUUUGCCUCACCACUGCGCUCCGCAGUGCUGAGUAAGGCUCACUGUGCUCCCUCGCUGGUCAUUCCCCACCCUGCUGAGACGGCCUGACACAAACACCCUGGUGAAGCCACAAGGAGACCACCUUGAUUUUCACCCAGGGAGGUCUUGGUUUCACAGCUUGGUUCAAGUUUCCUGAGGUGUCAAAACUAUUUGAUACCUCUUUGGAGCCAAAACAAAGCAAGCAGCUCCCGGAGGCAGAUGAACUUAGGCUCCACCUCCUUCUAGAAGCUGAGUGAAACCACUCCUUCCUUGUCCAACUGGAAAAACCUAAGAAAUAGGCCUCUCCAAGUCCCUUCUGGUCUUUGAGAUAAUUCUCUAGGAGAUCUUUGGCCAUGCCUACAUUAAAACAAAUGCGACUGGCCAGGAAUGCAGUGUAGAAUUGAAACAUCAGGGCUGAGUGAUUCAUUCCUCUUUACCCAGUUUUUGUUUUGUUUUGUUUAUCUGUCUUCCCUCUUGGGGAAGCCUCCACCCAGUUCUCCCAUCCAGGCCACUGGGUUCUGAACCCCCUCCUUCCCUCCUUUAGCCCUCCCGCUUGCCCUACUUGGGCCUUUUCAGCAGUGUGGGUCACAUCAUCGUCAGAUGGAACCAGAAGCAGCCAGGAGUGCUUUUUGACACUUCCAGCUCAGCCAGGACCCUAGAGGAUCCAGGGUUACUAUCCAUGGUGAAAAGAAGUUUCUCUAGAAUUGGUAUUAAUGAGGUUAAGUAACUUAAUUUCCACCAACAACUUAUCCAGACAUUUAAAAAGGCAAUAGAGAUAAACAGCUUAGUAACAACAGACUGGCCUUCAAAUUCCAGAGUAUUGUUUUCUCCCUAAUUGAGCUGUCUGCCUUGACUGGUUAGUCUAAUAAAUGCACGGAGAAGGUGUACACACAACACAGUACUUUGCACUAUUUAACACCAUGAUCAUGUGGAAUACAUUAGAAAGGAAAUAGGUCAAAAACCAUCAUGUGAACCAUCUAAUUUGAUGUUUGGGCUAAGGCUAAAAUCUUGACAGGGAGGUUCUAAAGUGCUAAAAUGCAGAACAUUCAGGCUGACUGGUUCACCCACACCAGAGAGAGAAACUCAAGUGGGGCUGGGAGGGCAGGGGGGCCCAGAAGUGACCCAGCAAUAACCUGCCCUUGUGUUCAUUUCCAGAGACCAAAAAAAAAAUUUUUUUUUUUUUUUUUUGAGGCAGAGUCUUGCUCUGUCACCCAGGCUGGAGUGCAGUGGUGCGAUCUUGGCUCACUGCCACUUCCACCUCCUGGGUUCAGGCGAUUCUUCUGCCUUAGCCUCCCGAGUAGCUGGGACUACAGGAGCCCGCCACCACGCCCAGCUAAUUUUUGUAUUUUUAGUAGAGAUAGGGUUUCACCAUCUUGGCCAGGCGGGUCUGGAACUCCUGACCUCGUGACCCGCCCACCUUGGCCUCCCAAAGUGCUGGGAUUAUAGGCAUGAGCCAUCACACCUGGCCCAGAGACCAAAAUUUAAGAAUCUCAAGUAAUUAACUACUGUAGCCAGGUUUACAAUAUAGUACCAGAGUCUCAGGGAUGGAAGGAAUUCAUCAUACAAGAUCCUGGUCACCUUACCUGGCCUCACAAAAGCCAUCUUUUCAAAAUUUAACCAUCACUAUAAAAAGAAAAUUGGUGUCAGUGAGCCCCAGAAAUACAUAUAAUAGUUUCUUUAAAGGCAGGGCUAAUUGUUGACACAUCUCUCUUGGGAAGACAUGUGUACCACAAACAAACAAAAACAGAAUCCAACCACUUCUAUCUAGAUAGUUAUCUUUCCAGGCAGAAAAUCUAACAUUCAGUAACUAAACCAAAUCCCAGAGCCUCAGCAGCCAAAACGGCCCUAGCUGACAUUUCAUCCAGCCUCAUUUUAUAGAGGAGAAGGUAGAGGCCCAUGUCUUGUCCAUAGUUGCACACCUGGGAUCCAGGCCAGAAUUCUUGUAGCUACACGGGCCUGGAAUCCAGCAUUUUAGGUUGAGUAAAAUCAUUUCCUGCUAGGUCCCUGAUUCUAUUGAGAACCAGGGCUAAGGCUUUAUGGAUUUGGGAAAACUUAAGUUUCUAUUGCAAGUGUCAACCAAUGGGUCCCAGAGGUGCUUUGAAGUCUCUGGCUUCCACAUUUAACCACAAAGUGCUGCUUAUGUCCUGAUGCUUACAUGAUUCAGUUAAGGUGCUUUCCAAACCCGGUGACAACAGCUGGGGCCUUGAUCUCACGUAAGGUUCCUGAUGAGCAGCAGAGGUCUAUACUUAGGGUUCCUGUGAAAAACAAACUCCCAGUCUCACAUUUGGUCACACUGCAGGUUUGGCCAAAUUAUUUCAUACAAGUAGUUCUCACUGGCCAAACAGGUUGUUUUUCUCCUGGAAAAGUGGGAUCAAAGUGACUUUGGUCCUGAUUUUUCUUGCUUCCAAGAUGUGUAAGAACCAGAUCACCACCCCCCAACCAAAAA
This is a long non-coding RNA of Nomascus leucogenys (northern white-cheeked gibbon), 3359 nucleotides long. RefSeq lists it as uncharacterized. The record is from RefSeq and is a predicted model, not a curated record. Lineage: Eukaryota; Metazoa; Chordata; Mammalia; Primates; Hylobatidae. The transcript is spliced from 2 exons.